RNAcentral lists this ribosomal RNA (747 nucleotides) under Williopsis vartiovaarae. RNAcentral's name for it is "eukaryotic LSU rRNA". The stretch from base 153 to 747 matches the Rfam family "Eukaryotic large subunit ribosomal RNA", at positions 1 to 597 of the family's 3401-position model. Lineage: Eukaryota; Fungi; Ascomycota; Saccharomycetes; Phaffomycetales; Wickerhamomycetaceae. The record is from RNAcentral.
CUUCUGGGUUAACUUGAAAUAGUGAAUUUGGCAAGAGUGUGCUUUUGUGGCCUCUUGACUGAGAUAAUGUAUUAGGUUCUACCAACUCGUUAUAGCAGUUUGAGAAAGUCCUCUGGCAUAUAUAGCUCGGCCUAACAACCAUUCUAAAAGUUUGACCUCAAAUCAGGUAGGAUUACCCGCUGAACUUAAGCAUAUCAAUAAGCGGAGGAAAAGAAACCAACAGGGAUUGCCUCAGUAACGGCGAGUGAAGCGGCAAAAGCUCAAAUUUGAAAUCUGGUACCUUCGGUGCCCGAGUUGUAAUUUGAAGAUAGUUUUCUGGUGCUGGUCCUUGUCUAUGUUCCUUGGAACAGGACGUCACAGAGGGUGAGAAUCCCGUCUGGCGAGGUGUCCAGUGCUAUGUAGAUUUCUAUCGACGAGUCGAGUUGUUUGGGAAUGCAGCUCUAAGUGGGUGGUAAAUUCCAUCUAAAGCUAAAUAUUGGCGAGAGACCGAUAGCGAACAAGUACAGUGAUGGAAAGAUGAAAAGAACUUUGAAAAGAGAGUGAAAAAGUACGUGAAAUUGUUGAAAGGGAAGGGUAUUAGAUCAGACUUGGUGUUUUGUGAUUAUCUUCCCUUCUUGGGUUGUGCACUCGCAUUUCACUGGGCCAGCAUCGGUUCGGGUGGCAAGAUAAUGACAUUGGAACGUGGCACCUUCUUCGGUUGGUGUGUUAUAGCCUUUGUUGAUGUUGCCUGUCUGGACCGAGGACUGC